CUUACAAACAAUUAUAAAAAAAAUGUUUAAAUUCUAUCUAGUAUUAAAUAUUAUAUUAUUGAAGAACUUUGAAUUUAAAGGUUUUAUGAAGUCUGCGAUGCCAGCAAUUCAAGAAAAGCUAAUAACUUUUAAACCAGAUACCAGAAUAUAUUUAUAACAAGAAACCCAUGCAAUGAAAUCUUAAUGAAUUACUGGAUUGUUUAGACAUGCAUUAACAAUACAUCUUACUAUAUGGCCCUAUAUUUUUGUAGAUGCAAAUUUUGAAAAGCAAUAAAUUGACAUCAUAUGCUUAUUAUUAAAACAAAACAUUUAUUAAUUAAAUUAAAUUAUGACUCAAUAAUAUAUUGUUGGCUGU
Molecule: non-coding RNA, 355 nt
Organism: Paramuricea clavata
Lineage: Eukaryota; Metazoa; Cnidaria; Anthozoa; Malacalcyonacea; Plexauridae
Source: the annotation of a GenBank genome assembly